This 316-nucleotide ribosomal RNA is filed under the name uncultured bacterium. RNAcentral describes it as "bacterial SSU rRNA". It matches the Rfam family "Bacterial small subunit ribosomal RNA", at positions 442 to 775 of the family's 1533-position model. The record is from RNAcentral.
GGGAAGAUAAUGACGGUACCCACAGAAGAAGCCCCGGCUAACUUCGUGCCAGCAGCCGCGGUAAUACGGAGGUGGCGAGCGUUGUUCGGAAUGACUGGGCGUAAAGGGAGCGCAGGCGGCCUUUUAAGUCCGGCGUGAAAGCCCGGGGCUCAACCCCGGCGGGUCGGCGGAUACUGGGAGGCUGGAGUACGGAAGAGGAGAGUGGAAUUCCGGGUGUAGCGGUGAAAUGCGUAGAUAUCCGGAGGAACACCGGUGGCGAAAGCGGCUCUCUGGUCCGAUACUGACGCUGAGGCUCGAAAGCGUGGGGAGCAAACGG